This is a long non-coding RNA of Aedes albopictus (Asian tiger mosquito), 1883 nucleotides long. RefSeq lists it as uncharacterized. The record is from RefSeq and is a predicted model, not a curated record. NCBI's taxonomy places the organism in Eukaryota, Metazoa, Arthropoda, Insecta, Diptera, Culicidae. The transcript has 2 exons.
ACUUUGUUGGAAUAGGGUUCGCUUUGCCGAGCACUGGCUGAUAGGCGUAAUGGCAACACUGUUACAGAGGGGGGGCACCAGCACAACUUGUAAAGUGAUGAACUACGUAGUUUGAAAAGCAAAAGUGUACGUUGGGGUUAACGUGAGAAUCCAGAUGAGUUUUUUUUUUUUUUUUUUUGACAGUCAUGCUUGCAGGGCUAAUGCUCUUAUUGUAGAGUUGGUUCUAAUAUCUAAUCGAGCAUCUUGACCGCUCUUAUGUUCUUAGUGUAAUACGGCCUACUUUUAACUGAGUAACGCAUCGUCUCCCAUAGGUGAUGAACGCGUGACUCACAGAUAUCUACACCAUGCUAUACCCUACUUCUAAUUGAGUUGUUGGAUAAAUUUUGAUAUUAUUCCGGUGAGGCUUAUGGUAGGAUUUAUUUUGAACUUAAAAUGGAACUUGUUUUGUUCGGAGGAGCUCCCUUAAAGUGUUUUCCAGGGGUUUCUUCUCAGAACCAUUUUUUCCCUUUUUUAUUUAGACAUCCCUCCAGGGAUUUCUUCUGGAAUUCAUCUAAAAAUUCUUUCAAUAACUGUUCAAUAUUGGAUUGAAUCCAAAUCCAACAACAUUUCUCCAGUAUUUUUUUCUAUGAUUUGACCAGAAGUUCUUUUUGCGAUUCCUCCAGAAAUUCCUUCCAGAAUUUCGGUCCCGCCUGUGACUUCUAUAGGAAUUCUUUCUAACAUAAUAUAAGCAGUUCCUAGUAUUUACCAAGAAUUAUUUCCGGAAUUCCUUCAGGAACUUCUUUCGCGAUCUCUCCGUUAACGUUUUCCCAGAUUCUUCCAGGAACUCCUUCCAAGCUUCGUCUAGGAGCUUCUUCACAGAUCCUGCUUGGAAUUUCUCCUGAGAUUCAUAAAAAAGUUGCAUCUGGGAUCCCUUGAUGAGUUCAUUCCGGGAUUCUUCCAGGAACUUCUUCGGCAUUUCUCUAUAAUUAUUUCAGAAAUUCCUCCACAAUGUUUUUACGAGAUUUUUUCCAGGAAAUCUUCCCGAGAUUCUUCCUCUAGAAUAUCCUUCAUGGAUUUACAUUGGAUAUUUUUCUGUGAUUACUUUACUUUGUUUUCGGAAUGUCUUCUGCAUUUUUUAUGGGAAUCGCUGAAGGAUUUCAUUUACUCCCGAAAGGAAGUAUUGGAGGAAAUCCAAAAGGAGCUCCUGGAAGAUGUUUGGUGGAAUUUCUCAAGUAGUUUCUGCAGGUAUUUUAAUAGGAAUUCAUGAAACAAUUCCAUACGGAAUUCUCGGUGUAACUUCAAGAGGAAUUCCACGACAAAAAAAAAUCUUGAAGUGAUUUCACAUAAACUCCUGAUGGAUUUCCAUUGGGAACAUUUGAAAUAAUUCCAAAAUAAACUGCUUGAAAAAUUCCAGAAUGAUUUGCUUCUGAUUAAAUCCCGGCAGAAGAUUCUGGAGGAAUCUCGAAAACAGUUCCAGAAAAAAAAAUACGAAUACAGGAUUGACUGAUGGACUAGGGAUGGGAACACUCACUUGCAACGAGUUACAUUCACUUGCUUUUUUUUCAGAUCAGAAGCAUGCAAGUAAGAAGCGAUGGGGGCGACUUUUGCCUUGUGGUUUCGUCAGUAGGGGUCGCACUCGAAUCCCAAGGUCGUGACGUAGCUGUGAAAGCGACUGUCCACGAGGGGAGUGUAAUUAACAUUCAUCUUGUGGAGAGUUGCCUUCGGUAUGCGAGUGCGACCCCUACUCUUUUCGGCAAAGUUUUAGACGAAAACACAAGGUAAAAGUCGUCUAUACAUUGUUUCUUGAUUGCACGCUUCUGAGUUGAGAAAACUGCAAGUGAGUGUAACUAUUUCCAAGUGAGUGUUCCCAUUCUUGUGUUGGACCACCAAUAAUAAUGAAACCU